ACGGGUGAGUAAUGCAUAGGAAUCUGCCCGGUAGUGGGGGAUAACGUGGGGAAACCCACGCUAAUACCGCAUACGUCCUACGGGAGAAAGCGGGGGAUCUUCGGACUUCGCGCUAUCGGAUGAGCCUAUGUCGGAUUAGCUGGUUGGUAAGGUAACGGCUUACCAAGGCAACGAUCCGUAGCUGGUCUGAGAGGAUGAUCAGCCACACUGGGACUGAGACACGGCCCAGACUCCUACGGGAGGCAGCAGUGGGGAAUAUUGGACAAUGGGCGAAAGCCUGAUCCAGCCAUGCCGCGUGUGUGAAGAAGGCUUUCGGGUUGUAAAGCACUUUCAGCGAGGAAGAAAGCCUCUGGGUUAAUACCCCAGAGGAAGGACAUCACUCGCAGAAGAAGCACCGGCUAACUCCGUGCCAGCAGCCGCGGUAAUACGGAGGGUGCGAGCGUUAAUCGGAAUUACUGGGCGUAAAGCGCGCGUAGGUGGCUUGGCACGCCGGUUGUGAAAGCCCGGGCUCAACCUGGGAACGGCAUCCGGAACGGCCAGGCUAGAGUGCAGGAGAGGAAGGUAGAAUUCCCGGUGUAGCGGUGAAAUGCGUAGAGAUCGGGAGGAAUACCAGUGGCGAAGGCGGCCUUCUGGCCUGACACUGACACUGAGGUGCGAAAGCGUGGGUAGCAAACAGGAUUAGAUACCCUGGUAGUCCACGCCGUAAACGAUGUCGACUAGCCGUUGGGACCUUUAAGGACUUAGUGGCGCAGUUAACGCGAUAAGUCGACCGCCUGGGGAGUACGGCCGCAAGGUUAAAACUCAAAUGAAUUGACGGGGGCCCGCACAAGCGGUGGAGCAUGUGGUUUAAUUCGAUGCAACGCGAAGAACCUUACCUACCCUUGACAUCCAGAGAAGUUGGCAGAGAUGCCUUCGUGCCUUCGGGAGCUCUGAGACAGGUGCUGCAUGGCUGUCGUCAGCUCGUGUUGUGAAAUGUUGGGUUAAGUCCCGUAACGAGCGCAACCCUUGUCCUUAUUUGCCAGCGAGUAAUGUCGGGAACUCUAAGGAGACUGCCGGUGACAAACCGGAGGAAGGUGGGGACGACGUCAAGUCAUCAUGGCCCUUACGGGUAGGGCUACACACGUGCUACAAUGGCCGGUACAAAGGGUUGCGAGACCGCGAGGUGGAGCGAAUCCCAGAAAGCCGGCCUCAGUCCGGAUCGGAGUCUGCAACUCGACUCCGUGAAGUCGGAAUCGCUAGUAAUCGUGAAUCAGAAUGUCACGGUGAAUACGUUCCCGGGCCUUGUACACACCGCCCGUCAC
This 1301-nucleotide ribosomal RNA is filed under the name Salinicola salarius. RNAcentral's name for it is "bacterial SSU rRNA". It matches the Rfam family "Bacterial small subunit ribosomal RNA", at positions 102 to 1400 of the family's 1533-position model. Lineage: Bacteria; Pseudomonadati; Pseudomonadota; Gammaproteobacteria; Oceanospirillales; Halomonadaceae. The record is from RNAcentral.